GACGAACGAGGGUGGCGUGCUUAACACAUGCAAGUCGAACGGAAAGGCCCUGCUUUUGUGGGGUGCUCGAGUGGCGAACGGGUGAGUAACACGUGAGUAACCUGCCCUUGACUUUGGGAUAACUUCAGGAAACUGGGGCUAAUACCGGAUAGGAGCUCCUGCUGCAUGGUGGGGGUUGGAAAGUUUCGGCGGUUGGGGAUGGGCUCGCGGCUUAUCAGCUUGUUGGUGGGGUAGUGGCUUACCAAGGCUUUGACGGGUAGCCGGCCUGAGAGGGUGACCGGCCACAUUGGGACUGAGAUACGGCCCAGACUCCUACGGGAGGCAGCAGUGGGGAAUAUUGCACAAUGGGCGGAAGCCUGAUGCAGCAACGCCGCGUGCGGGAUGACGGCCUUCGGGUUGUAAACCGCUUUCGCCUGUGACGAAGCGUGAGUGACGGUAAUGGGUAAAGAAGCACCGGCUAACUACGUG
RNAcentral lists this ribosomal RNA (468 nucleotides) under uncultured bacterium. RNAcentral describes it as "partial 16S ribosomal RNA". It matches the Rfam family "Bacterial small subunit ribosomal RNA", at positions 28 to 507 of the family's 1533-position model. The record is from RNAcentral.